This is an RNA transcript of Acipenser ruthenus (sterlet), 4914 nucleotides long. It is a transcript of the gene named sialoadhesin-like, with no coding region annotated. The transcript is spliced from 6 exons. The record is from RefSeq and is a predicted model, not a curated record. NCBI's taxonomy places the organism in Eukaryota, Metazoa, Chordata, Actinopteri, Acipenseriformes, Acipenseridae.
AUGAAAAAUAAAACAAUACAACUGAGUGAAUAGGUUGUGAUGUGGAUGCAGUAAUGUUGAUGAAUGCUAAGCUGGUUCCACGAAACACAUUUCACUUGUGAAUUAAGCUGGAUCCAAGCCCAGGAGGUUCUGCUAUAGACAAUCUGACAGAUGUCUCCAUUCUUCUGAGAUGCCUAACAAUGAAGCUAUCUAACUUAGGCAACAAGGCUCACUGUUUUCCUUGCACUUUUAAUAAAAGCUGAAUAGGUCUGGCUGUAUAUAUUGUGGUACAUUUACAUUGCUUGUUGUGAACAUUAUACUCCACCAGCAUCAACUUCCCUUCUGUUUUAAGAAAAAAAAAAUACAGAUUUGCAUCUUAUUUACUGUAAUAUGACAGCUUGGUGCCACUCUCUGUAGGAGAUUGAUUUCCAUAAUGCAUUUGCAUUGAUGUGUCCAUUUUAAUUUUAGAGCAGUACAGGUCCACUGUCCAUUGUUUAUGAACAGUAAUUUCACCCUUCAGCCUUGUUGACUUGAAGUGUAACUCAUUCGAGGAAGUAGCAAUAGCAGGCAAGUAUUACUUAAAUGCAUGGUGUAUUUAUGAAUAUGUGUGCAAAAAUUUUAAUGCUUGAUAUAUUAUAAUGUUAAUACGGUCAACAUUUGUAAUGUACCGUUGAUGAUUAAUUAGAUAGAGGCUGGUGCUAGAGUAAGUACAAUAACAUGAAUUCUAAAUGCAUUAUUAAAUGUGUUAAGUAAUGGAAGAUGGAAUUAUUAUUUAAUAGUAUUUAUUAUUAUUAUUAUUAUUAUUAUUAUUAUUAUUAUUAUUAUGAUUAUUAUUAUUAUUAUUAUUAUUAUUAUUAAUUAAGUAGGGAUUUAUUCCAUUCUAAAACCUGUCAUCAUUUAAACCCUCUCUGGCAUUUUCCAGAUUUUUACACACAGACAUGUGCUGGUGUUUCACAUGCACUAUUUGAGGUUUGAUUUUCAUAACCAUGCUACACAAAGAGCUGUUUUUGCUGGUAUUUAGAUGCUGGAUUGGGGUUGUUUUGUGUAACUGAUUGUCAUUGUCGUCAAAAGAAAUUAUUUUGCAAUAGCCAGAAGCGUGUGCAAUUUAGGGAAAUUCAGAAUUAUUUUGCAUAUUUGUCAAAAACAUCACCUGAACUAUUUACCUAUAUGACUGUAGCUGGUUACUUGAAUUGUUUUAACUGUUAUUUGUGUGUGUGUAAGGAUGAAUUCAUGUAUGCAUCAAUUGUGUUUGAUGAGCAUGAUUAUAUUUUAUAUUGAUUUUCUUUCAGUUCUAAAGUUUCAACAAUGAAUGAAGAUAUUAUUUAUAUAACUGCUUUGCUUCUAUGCAUUGUUUCAGAAACAUGCAAAACAAUUUGCCUGAAGGAACCAAACACAGAAAUUAAUAAAAGUGAACAUUUCGUUUAUAAGGAAGAUUUGUUUUCCUGUUUUGGAGAUGCGCAUAUUGAAGCAUCAAAUACAACUGUUGAUGAGGGUGACAAUAUCAGCCUGACCUAUUCAACUCAUAAAGAGGUCCCCGGAACGAGCUGGUUUAAAGACGAUGGAAUACUGGUCAACAGAACCCAAAGCAAUAAUCUGAUCCUCACAAAAGUUCGGUCCUACUUUUGUACUGCUACAAAUUUUUGUGCAUCGAAUAAGAUAAACAUCACCAUAAACUGUUCUACUUUCAAUGUUAUUAUUAAUGCCACAUCACUGGCUGUCAACGACAUGGAUAAUAUCACCCUGAUCUGUAUUACUGAUCAUGAAGUUCAGGAAGUUCUCUGGUUUAAAGACGCCGUACUCUUCAAAAGAACCCAAAGCACUAAUCUGACCAUUACAAAGGUGUUGAAAAACAGCACUGGAUCCUACUACUGUACUGCAAGCAGAAGCUGUGGGGACAGCACAUCUAAUAAAAUAGACAUUACAGUUACAGAUAGUUCUCUUUUGAUAAUUAUUAUAUGUGGCCUCGGGGCAGUGGCCUUUCUCAUUUUGUUUAUCAUUGUGAUGAAAUGCAUGAUUAAAAACUCACAAGGUAAGAUUCACCUUGGAUGGGUGUAUCCAGAAACUAGAAUAUGUGGAAUGUGGGAUUUGAGAUCAUUUGUAAGCAUUUAUCAUUGUGGACUUAGAGUGUCAAUAAGUAUGGGGUUCUGAUUUCUCUGGGUUAUAUAAAAAUGUAAAAUAAGGCAAGAUUGGUAGGGUACGUCCAACGUUUUAUGUUGAACAAAGAUUCACAUAUUAAUAUGUACUGCUAAAAUCUUUUUUCUGUCCAUUGAUAAAACAGUUUACACUGUUUACCUUCACACAGUCUACCUAAAUGUUUCCAUUGAAAUGUAACAACGUCCAUCACAGCGAUUCAGCACCCUGCUUUCUCUAUAAUUCUUUGUUCUUUACCUUGCUUUGACCAUGUUUCAUUAGACCGUUUAGCACAGUACACUUUUAUAAGAAAUCCCCAAACAUUCUUUAGUAAGUCCGAACAUAUGUACUGGUUUACUCAAUCUGUAUAUCUAAAUGAGUCCAUGAUCCAAGUGCAAGGGCUUUAUCUUUGAAGUUAGCUGCACGUAUUUCUUAUCAAAGUGUAUGUAAAGACCUUUGAUUGCGUUUCCAGGAGUUACCACACUGAAAUGCUGUCUGACAGAGGGGGCAACGAGCCAUAUAUGAUCCUAUCAACCUUAAUAAAUGACCAUGUUUAAAAUGACAUUAAAAGUCAUGUUAGUAGCAAUGUGUCUGUUAAGUGUUUACAGACCAUGCAUUAAUGUAAUUGGACUGAUAGCAAGUUUUGAUUGAGAAACAUUUGGUAUCAAUGGUAACAGUUGGUAUUGAAUACCUACAGCAGUUCAGCACCCAUUUCCCAACAGGUUUGGGCACAAGAUUGGCUGAGUUACACAUUUAUUACAGUGUGGGGUAGAAUCUGAGGCACAGAGUCCAGGAACCACAUUCCUAACAGAUGUUGGCUGCAGUAGAUUAUGUACAGUAGAGGUUUAGAAAAGAACAUUUAAACAUAGGAAACCGAGCCGAAUCAGAUUGAUACAUCCAAAAAUAAAUCUUAUCUUUUGUAUUUCUAUAGCCAAAAGAAAGCCAAGGAAGGUAUCAGAUGCCAACAGCACUACCACUGUAACUUCACAGUACUGACGCAAAUUCACCAAUCUCAGGGACCAGUCAGGCCUCAUCAAACAUCAGUUUGUCCUCACACAGGGCAAUGAAAACAUCUGCCCUGAUCCACCACAUCUUAUUUCACUGGGACGACAGAGGCUGAAUUAGCUGGUGAACAACUGUGAACGACACUGUGUUGCACAACCAGAUAUGAACGACUAUAAUGAAACCGGAUCAGCAGACUCUCUUUCUUUAGCCUUUUAUUAGCAAGAAACUCAGGAUCAGACAGCACAUAUUUUACAACGACAGACGUAUAUAGAAAAACAACAGUACGCAGUAAUGUAUCGGACUAGGGGACCGGUUUGUGAUAAAGGACAGGGGAAUUUAUUAUUUUGGAACUCUAAAUUAAGUAGCCGACACCUUAAAUAUACGCCCUGCAUCCCAGUGGAGAGUAGUGUAUAUUACAUGCCAGUAAUAUCCAACAUGUUACGUACAUUGCUGUGUCUUUAUAUAUAUUAGUAAGCUCCAGCGCCCUCUAGUGUACAGCAGCGUAUUGCCAAACAAUUUAGAAACACUACAAGAAUUCAGUGUGGUAUUGCCAGCAAAACAAAGGAAAACUUCUUCCAAAUGAGCACAUCACUAGAUGGUGCUGGCUCAUAUGUCUGUUAAAAGAAAUUGAAACCACCACUAAUCUGCAUAUACCUAUGGCAGGUAACAAGAACUGAAGAGCAGCUAAUGAACCCAGGUGAAAGCCACUUAAACACAGAUUUAUUAAAUAAUAAUAAUAAUAAUAAUAAUAAUAAUAAUAAUAAUAAUAAUAAUAAUAGAACAUUUAAUCUUUUACAAAUAUUACAUUUCUUACCUGUUUAAUCCUAUGGCGUAUGUUCUGCAUGAUUCUGUAUCGGUUUUUCAGCUUAGAUCAGAGAUUGCCAAGCUUACUAUGCAGCAACAAAUUUCUGCUUAAAAAAAAACCUUAAUUGCAGAACACUAUCAUUCUGUAAAUAGAGCACCAAAAAUGAACUGCAAAAAAAAUGAACCGUGUUAUGGUUUUAGAACCAGGAAAACCCCAUUGAGAUGGAGGCAUUAUCUUAAGUCAGAUUUGCUAAAGUAGUGCUAGACAAGAAUUUUAAAUCCAUAUUCCUACUCUAACUGCAAUCAGGCACAGACUUGUAUCUACAGCACUGUUCUUGAAAAUGCUUUAUGUCCCCAGCUAAAGUAUAAAGACCAAAAGAACAAAAAGAUCUUAAACACAAAUAGAGGUGGCCUGUGUGAUAAUGCUGCUAUUGCUGAUAAGAGGUGAGGAAAUGGGGUUGAUUUUACACCCUUGGUUAGCACUCUAUGAUGGUCUUCAUAGAAGCUCUGAAUUGCUUUCCAUUCAGAAGACCACCACACUUCAUCACCAUACUAACCUUAGAAACAUUUAUGUGCCAACAAAUGAAGUUAGAUUACAUUUUCUCAGUUUAGUGACUUAUGUUUAAUUGAUGGUGCAGGCAUUAUUUGUACAUAUUAAAUCAUUUAAACAAAUACAUAUUUGUCUUAAAACUGUACAGUACAUUACAAUACAACUGAAUGUAAGUUUAGAACUAGGAAAUAAAGUUUCUUGAUGUCUUUUAAUGGCAUUAUUCAAUCAAAUUUUCCUCUAAUACAGUUUAACACAUUUUCUUUUUGGAAUGAAUAGUGCCACAGAAAAGAGAAAUAAUGCGGGUGCUGUAAUUCUUUGAUUGAAUAUGCCUCUUGGCUUUGUUUAGAUGGUAGAAACAUAACUGUAUUUUAUCUAGGCCUGCUUUAUGUAAUUUUAUGUUUCUAAUAAUGAUGUAUUUGACUUGCUUCGUAGAACAGGAUAUAGGA